GUUUAUAGCAGUUCUUUCUUGAAACUUUCAGGACUAUGUAAGCAGUUUUCCUGCCCUGAGGCUGUCAUGCUGAGAUGAAUCCUAUAGUAGCCACUGUGCAGACCAGCCUGAGGCUCCAUGAAGACUGACAGAGACAGAGUGGCCACAGCUGAUGCAGUCCCCACUGCCACUGCCCCUGGUCUAACCCUAAGCCAGCGCUGCCCCCCAAGCUCUUCCCACCACACCUAUACCUUACAGUAGUGCAUCCUGCCCGUGACGGUGAGAUGACACACUGCCUACUGAGAUGAAUGCGGUGAGUGACACAGGCGUUGCAAUGCACAUUAGACUACUGCAUGAGCCUUACUUGAACCCAGUGCUGGAACCCUGCAACAGUGAGUUGUGCUAACACCGACAGCUGCAAGUGACUAAUGGACAGGCGACA
This 421-nucleotide long non-coding RNA is filed under the name Fukomys damarensis (Damara mole-rat). RNAcentral's name for it is "lncRNA (ENSFDAG00000029161.1)". The record is from RNAcentral. Lineage: Eukaryota; Metazoa; Chordata; Mammalia; Rodentia; Bathyergidae.